Molecule: ribosomal RNA, 467 nt
Filed under: uncultured bacterium
Lineage: Bacteria
Description: partial 16S ribosomal RNA
Rfam family: Bacterial small subunit ribosomal RNA
Source: RNAcentral
GAUGAACGCUGGCGGCGUGCUUAACACAUGCAAGUCGAACGGUGAAGGCGGAGCUUGCUCUGCUGGAUCAGUGGCGAACGGGUGAGUAACACGUGAGCAAUCUGCCCCUGACUCUGGGAUAAGCGCUGGAAACGGCGUCUAAUACUGGAUACGAGCUGCGAAGGCAUCUUCAGCAGCUGGAAAGAAUUUCGGUCAGGGAUGGGCUCGCGGCCUAUCAGCUUGUUGGUGAGGUAAUGGCUCACCAAGGCGUCGACGGGUAGCCGGCCUGAGAGGGUGACCGGCCACACUGGGACUGAGACACGGCCCAGACUCCUACGGGAGGCAGCAGUGGGGAAUAUUGCACAAUGGGCGAAAGCCUGAUGCAGCAACGCCGCGUGAGGGACGACGGCCUUCGGGUUGUAAACCUCUUUUAGCAGGGAAGAAGCGAAAGUGACGGUACCUGCAGAAAAAGCGCCGGCUAACUACGU